CCUACGGGAGGCAGCAGUGAGGAAUAUUGGUCAAUGGGCGAGACCCUGAACCAGCGAAGUCGCGUGAAUGAUGACGGCCCUACGGGUUGUAAGCUUCUUUUGUCAGGGAGAAAUUGGGUCCACGCGUGGGCGUAGCGAGAGUACCUGAAGAAAAAGCAUCGGCUAACUCCGUGCGAGCGGCCGCGGUAAUACGGAGGAUUCGGGGGUUAGCCGGAUUUGUUGGGGUUAAAGGGCGCGUAGGGGGAAUAUCAAGUCAGCGGUAAAACUUCGGGGCUAAACCCCGUCGUGCCGUUGAAACUGAUGUUCUUGAGUGGGCGAGAAGUAGGCGGAAUGCGUGGUGUAGCGGUGAAAUGCAUAGAUAUCACGCAGAACUCCGAUUGCGAAGGCAGCAUACCGGCGCGCAACUGACGCUGAAGCACGAAAGCGUGGGUAUCGAACAGGAUUAGAUACCCCUGUAGUC
This 460-nucleotide ribosomal RNA is filed under the name uncultured bacterium. Its description in RNAcentral is "partial 16S ribosomal RNA". It matches the Rfam family "Bacterial small subunit ribosomal RNA", at positions 338 to 795 of the family's 1533-position model. The record is from RNAcentral.